CUGCCUACGGGGGGCAGCAGUGGGGAAUAUUGGACAAUGGGGGGAACCCUGAUCCAGCGACGCCGCGUGAGUGAAGAAGUAUUUCGGUAUGUAAAGCUCUAUCAGCAGGGAAGAAAAUGACGGUACCUGACUAAGAAGCCCCGGCUAACUACGUGCCAGCAGCCGCGGUAAUACGUAGGGGGCAAGCGUUAUCCGGAUUUACUGGGUGUAAAGGGAGUGUAGACGGUGUAGCAAGUAUGAUGUGAAAGGUUGGGGCCCAA
RNAcentral lists this ribosomal RNA (260 nucleotides) under uncultured bacterium. Its description in RNAcentral is "partial 16S ribosomal RNA". It matches the Rfam family "Bacterial small subunit ribosomal RNA", at positions 335 to 612 of the family's 1533-position model. The record is from RNAcentral.